This 1271-nucleotide ribosomal RNA is filed under the name Agrilus sichuanus. RNAcentral's name for it is "16S ribosomal RNA". The stretch from base 844 to 1204 matches the Rfam family "Archaeal large subunit ribosomal RNA", at positions 2150 to 2716 of the family's 2987-position model. The record is from RNAcentral. Lineage: Eukaryota; Metazoa; Arthropoda; Insecta; Coleoptera; Buprestidae.
UCUUAGAAAAUUAUUAUUUAUUUUUAUUAAAUUAUUAUUUUUUUUAGUAUUUUGAAUAAAUUGAUUUUAUUAUAGAUAAUAAGUACCGUAGGGGAAUUUUGAAAUAGUUGAAAUAUUUUGGAUUUAAGAAGAAGAAUUAAUUUUUUGUACCUUGUGUAUCAGGGUUUAUAAAUUAUUUAAAAUAAAUUUUUUAUUCCCGAAUUUUAAGGAGCUAGGAGUUUAUAAAUUUUAAUGUGAAAUAAUUACUUAAAAUGGAUUUCUUGAAAUGAAAUGUUAGCCGUCUUAUAAUAUAUCUGGUUUUUUUAGAAAAAAAUUUAAUUUUGUUAGUUUUUUUUAUUUUUCUUUUUCUGAUUGAUAAUUAUUAAUUAAUAAAUAUUUUAAGGGAUUAGCUUUAAUUUAUAUUAUUAUAAAGUUUAUUUAAUUUGUAGUUUGUAGGAUUAAAAAUUUCCACCAUAAAAUUUGUUUUAAUUUUCUGCAUUUGUUUUUUUUAUUUUUUAAGCUUUUAAUUUUUUUAUAAAAAUGUUUUUUAUAAUUUUUUAUGAAAUUGAUAAUGAUUGAAUUAGUAAAAUUGAGAUUUAAAUUAUAAGAUUGAUUUAUGAGUUAAGAUAAAGGAACUCGGCAAAUCUAGUUUCCGCCUGUUUAUUAAAAACAUGUCUUUUUGAGUAUAAUUUAAAGUUUAAUCUGCCCUAUGAUGAGUUAAAUGGCCGCGAUAUUUUGAUCGUGCGAAGGUAGCAUAAUCAUUAGUUUUUUAAUUGAAAGCUUGUAUGAAGGAUUGGACGAGAAAAUAGCUGUCUCUAUUUUAUUUGUUGAAUUUUAUUUUUGAGUUAAAAAGCUUAAAUGGAUUUGAAGGACGAGAAGACCCUAUAGAGUUUAACAUUUAUUAAUUUUUUUUAAGUAUAGAUUAAAUUUUUGGAGGUUAAUUAAUGUUUAGUUGGGGUGACGGAAAAAUUUUUAUAACUUUUUCUUUUUGGUUAUAUUGAUAAAUAGGUUCUUGAUUUGGUAAGAAAUUAUAAGACAAAAUUACCUUAGGGAUAACAGCGUAAUUUUUCUUCAGAGUUCUUAUCGAAAGAAAAGAUUGCGACCUCGAUGUUGGAUUAAAGUAGGAUUUUGGUGCAGAAGCUGAAUUUCUUAGUCUGUUCGACUAUUAAAACUUUACAUGAUCUGAGUUUAAACCGGUGUGAGCCAGGUUGGUUUCUAUCCUCAAUAUUUUAAAAUAUUUUAGUACGAAAGGACCAAAUAUUAUUUAAAUUAAUUUAUUUUUGCUUAAUUUU